CAGGCUGGGGAAGCUGUUCGUUGGUUAUUGCAUUUUAUCCGUAAUGAUGAAUGAAUGAUCUCGUUUUGAAUUUUUACGAUAUCAAUAUUCAUCAGACAUCGCCAACUUCAGAUGUCUUCUUAAUAUCUUUAUCGGUAAUCAAAACCAGUGGAAAAUUUGACGAUCAUAAACUAACGAGGUGGCCACACUAUAUUUUAUUUUAACAGAAGCCCUAAGG
Lucilia cuprina (Australian sheep blowfly) is the source of this 217-nucleotide long non-coding RNA. RefSeq lists it as uncharacterized. NCBI's taxonomy places the organism in Eukaryota, Metazoa, Arthropoda, Insecta, Diptera, Calliphoridae. The record is from RefSeq and is a predicted model, not a curated record. The transcript has 4 exons.